This 506-nucleotide ribosomal RNA is filed under the name uncultured bacterium. RNAcentral describes it as "partial 16S ribosomal RNA". It matches the Rfam family "Bacterial small subunit ribosomal RNA", at positions 899 to 1397 of the family's 1533-position model. The record is from RNAcentral.
ACUCAAAUGAAUAGACGGGGGCUCACACAAGCGGUGGAGCAUGUUGCUUAAUUCGAAGCAACGCGAAGAACCUUACCCGGGUUUGACAUGCUUGGAUUAACUCGAUGAAAGUCGAGCCACACCCGCAAGGGUGGAACAAGCACAGGUGCUGCAUGGCUGUCGUCAGCUCGUGCUGUGAAGUGUCGGGUUAAGUCCCUUAACGAGCGCAACCCUUGUCGCUAGUUGCUAACGCGUCAUGGCGAGGACUCUAGCGAGACUGCCGGUGUCAAACCGGAGGAAGGCGGGGAUGACGUCAAGUCCUCAUGGCCCUUACAUCCGGGGUUGCAAACGUGCUACAAUGGUGCAUACAAAGCGACGCGAGGCCGCAAGGCGGAGCAAAUCGCAAAAAGUGUACCCCAGUUCGGAUUGCAGGCUGCAACCCGCCUGCAUGAAGUCGGAAUCGCUAGUAAUCGCGGAUCAGCUACGCCGCGGUGAAUAUGUUCCUGAGCCUUGUACACACCGCCCGU